RNAcentral lists this ribosomal RNA (305 nucleotides) under uncultured bacterium. RNAcentral describes it as "bacterial SSU rRNA". It matches the Rfam family "Bacterial small subunit ribosomal RNA", at positions 337 to 659 of the family's 1533-position model. The record is from RNAcentral.
UCCUACGGGACGCAGCAGUGGGGAAUAUUGCACAAUGGGGGAAACCCUGAUGCAGCAACGCCGCGUGAGUGAAGAAGUAUUUCGGUAUGUAAAGCUCUAUCAGCAGGGAAGAAGAUGACGGUACCUGACCAAGAAGCCCCGGCUAACUACGUGCCAGCAGCCGCGGUAAUACGUAGGGGGCAAGCGUUAUCCGGAUUUACUGGGUGUAAAGGGGGCGCAGACGGCAAUGCAAGCCAGGAGUGAAAGCCCGGGGCCCAACCCCGGGACUGCUCUUGGAACUGCAUGGCUGGAGUACAGGAGGGGCA